GCGAGAGUGUUGGGCCUUUCGGGUGCUGUUGCCGCCGUCGCCAUUUUGUGUGCGAGCGGCGUCGUGAAAACUGGCGCGGGGUUGGCUAUCCAUCGCCAUCCGAUUGUAGCCUUCCUGCCUACUCUCGAGAAGUGAGGCCGGGGAACCCUCCCCGACAUGAGAGCUAAGUGGAGAAAGAAGCGGAUGCGUAGGCUGAAGCGCAAAAGGAGAAAGAUGAGGCAGAGGUCCAAGUAGACAUCGUACACAGUGCUACUAAAGCUGCAAAACGGAGUAUGGAAGUAUGGUGCUUGGGAAGCUGAUUUCCAGAUACAAUGCCUUCUGUCUGCUGCUGCUGUUAGAAGACUCCUUGCCCAUCUUCAAGAGGUUCCAUCUUUAAAGCCUAGGAGCUGUGGUUCUUCAAGGAUGGUGCCCCUGAGCUUUGCUAUUCUGGACUCAUCCUCUUUUUUGUGGCUUGAUGUAGUAACUGUACAGAAUAAAACCCUUUUCAGAGGAAGUUUUUUUCCAUUUUAAA
This is a long non-coding RNA of Pogona vitticeps (central bearded dragon), 511 nucleotides long. RefSeq lists it as uncharacterized. The record is from RefSeq and is a predicted model, not a curated record. NCBI's taxonomy places the organism in Eukaryota, Metazoa, Chordata, Lepidosauria, Squamata, Agamidae.